RNAcentral lists this transfer RNA (57 nucleotides) under Escherichia coli 96.0107. Its description in RNAcentral is "partial tRNA-OTHER". The stretch from base 7 to 57 matches the Rfam family "tRNA", at positions 8 to 56 of the family's 71-position model. From Rfam's summary of the family: Transfer RNA (tRNA) molecules are approximately 80 nucleotides in length. Their secondary structure includes four short double-helical elements and three loops (D, anti-codon, and T loops). Further hydrogen bonds mediate the characteristic L-shaped molecular structure. tRNAs have two regions of fundamental functional importance: the anti-codon, which is responsible for specific mRNA codon recognition, and the 3' end, to which the tRNAs corresponding amino acid is attached (by aminoacyl-tRNA synthetases). tRNAs cope with the degeneracy of the genetic code in two manners: having more than one tRNA (with a specific anti-codon) for a particular amino acid; and 'wobble' base-pairing, i.e. permitting non-standard base-pairing at the 3rd anti-codon position. RNAcentral also lists the same sequence under 1 other name. The record is from RNAcentral. Lineage: Bacteria; Pseudomonadati; Pseudomonadota; Gammaproteobacteria; Enterobacterales; Enterobacteriaceae.
GGUGAUUAGCUCAGCUGGGAGAGCACCUCCCUUACAAGGAGGGGGGCGGCGGUUCGA